This 404-nucleotide ribosomal RNA is filed under the name uncultured bacterium. RNAcentral's name for it is "bacterial SSU rRNA". It matches the Rfam family "Bacterial small subunit ribosomal RNA", at positions 28 to 429 of the family's 1533-position model. The record is from RNAcentral.
GACGAACGCUGGCGGCGUGCCUAACACAUGCAAGUCGAGCGGGGACAAGGACUUCGGUUCUUGUUCUAGCGGCGGACGGGUGAGUAACGCGUGAGCAAUCUGUCCCUCACAGGGGGAUAACACUUGGAAACAGGUGCUAAUACCGCAUAAGACCACGGAGUCGCAUGGCUUUGGGGUCAAAGGAGUAAUCCGGUGAGGGGUGAGCUCGCGUCCCAUUAGAUAGUUGGCGGGGUAACGGCCCACCAAGUCAGCGAUGGGUAGCCGACCUGAGAGGGUGAUCGGCCACACUGGGACUGAGACACGGCCCAGACUCCUACGGGAGGCAGCAGUGGGAAAUAUUGGGCAAUGGGCGAAAGCCUGACCCAGCAACGCCGCGUGAGGGAGGAAGGUUUUCGGAUUGUAAA